GACGAACGCUGGCGGCGUGCUUAACACAUGCAAGUCGAACGGAAAGGCCUGCUUUCCCUUGUGGAUUGCGGGUACUCGAGUGGCGAACGGGUGAGUAACACGUGAGUGAUCUGCCCCCAACUUGGGUAUAAGCCUGGGAAACUGGGUCUAAUUCCCGAUAGGACUGCAGGGUGGUGCCUGUGGUGGAAAACGAUUUUCUAGUGGUUGGGGAUGAGCUCGCGGCCUAUCAGCUUGUUGGUGGGGUAAUGGCCUACCAAGGCGGCGACGGGUAGCCGGCCUGAGAGGGUGGGCGGCCACAUGGGAACUGAGAGACGCACCGGACUCCUACGGGGGGAAGCAGGGGGGAGUAUGGAACAGGGGGCGGAAGCCGGAUGCGGCGACGCGGGGGGGGGGAUGCCGGCGUUGGGGUUGAAACCUCCUUGCGACGGGGAGGAACCCACGGGUUUGGAGGGGGGGGGAGGUUGGUGGAAAAAGAAGCCCGGGCAAACUACGUG
Molecule: ribosomal RNA, 494 nt
Filed under: uncultured bacterium
Lineage: Bacteria
Description: partial 16S ribosomal RNA
Rfam family: Bacterial small subunit ribosomal RNA
Source: RNAcentral